UACAGAGGUCUCAAGCGUUGUUCGGAUUCAUUGGGCGUAAAGGGUGCGUAGGCGGCAGUGUAAGUCAGGUGUGAAAUCCCGGGGCUCAACCCCGGAACUGCACUUGAUACUGCACUGCUAGAGUACUGGAGAGGAGACUGGAAUUUACGGUGUAGCAGUGAAAUGCGUAGAUAUCGUAAGGAAGACCAGUGGCGAAGGCGAGUCUCUGGACAGUUACUGACGCUGAGGCACGAAGGCCAGGGGAGCAAAC
RNAcentral lists this ribosomal RNA (250 nucleotides) under uncultured bacterium. Its description in RNAcentral is "partial 16S ribosomal RNA". It matches the Rfam family "Bacterial small subunit ribosomal RNA", at positions 524 to 773 of the family's 1533-position model. The record is from RNAcentral.